GUCUUCGCCAACAUUUGGGUUUGAGACCCUACCCACCUCCCUCUCACCCCCAAGCCCCUUUUCCCUGGCGGAUGCCUUACCACCGUCAUUCCUUUAUCUAAAAUUUUCCUUUCCUUUAUACUCACUGGUGCCUUGUUAGGAAACGAAUCUGGGUUCAGCCUCAGGCAUCUGAAGCUUCUGGGAGAAGAAUAGAAUGGGACGGUAUAGAAAAACAACUGAGUGUGGAAUUCAUAAACUGAAGUUCAGAUGUGUUAAAACUUUUGCUCACAUCGUCACAGCCAGAAAUUGGUAAAGCCAAGAUUUAAACUCAGCUUUAUUUAUGUUUUUCUUAAACCACUCUGCCUGCCAACUCUAAGCUCAUCAACAAGAAGCAAGCGGGCAGUUUAUACUAACAGUCGACCGGACUGUGCCAGAUGAGCCAAUACCUCUGACAGGAGCAUCCUUAUCCCCACAAGCCUGGUGUCUACGGAAGUCCAAGCACCUGAGUGUGAAACCACGACACUGAUUUCAGAGUAGAUUGGCUGCUGGGGAGACAAUGCAAUCCAGUGUGAACUCAAGUGAGAAGGGCCAGAGAGGCUGUCUCCUGAUGGAUGUGGUUCUCACAAGGCUAGUUGUCUGAUAACAAAAUAAAUGGGAUUUAUUGAUGGGGUUCACUUACUUUAUGCAAAUGAUUCCACCCCAUGCAUUUAUCCCUUUGUUGUAUGGGGUUUUGCCUUGGUAAAAUAUAUCAGCUCCAACCACCAGGGAAAAUAAAUCUCACUGGCCAUUCAGAAAGCAGACUCCAGAUUCAGAGCUGGAUGAGACAACCUUUGAGUGAAAUCAGUGGGCUGCUGAGCACCAGGGAAUUCAGAUGUUUAUCCAGCAAACAGAUGAUGAUUUAUAGCCGGGAGAGAGAGACACAGACGAGAGAGAGGCACCCUGAAUUGUACUUGUAUUCAAAGACUGUGCCUUAAAGGCUUAAUAUUUAAAGAGCUGUCAGAAGAUUAGGGUUGAAUCAACAAUUCAUCAAUAUUUUGAGAAGGUGAUCAACAGAACUCUGCUGACCAGCGGUUGGUGAUCAUUCGAUAUUCAUCGACAUCUAUUCCACUCAGCAGCAGGCACUUUGAGAGGCACUGGAGAUGAUCACACCUGGAGAACCUCAGCCUCUGCCUUCAAGGGGACACGAAAAUCCAUGAUGAAAUGCCAUGUGAUACGUGCUAUGAUUCCAACAUAUGACUCAGCCCUCCCAAUUUCAUGUCAUCUGAAAAUAUGGCAUACAUGCCUUCCAUGUCUUCAUCCAGGUCCAUGAUAAAAAUUGUCAAAGGAGAGAGAAAACUUUGGCACAGUACCAGAGAUCUUCAUCCAAACAAUCUCAAAUCGUUCAUCAGCUAUGAAUCUACCUAACAUGACAGGAUCCAGCCCACAUUUCUAUAUUAAUAUCACAAGACUCCAUCAAAUGCCUGAAAAAAUGAAGAAGGGCAACAUUCUAUGCAGGGAGGAAUAAUGAGAAAAAGAGCAGAGAAACAUGUGAUCUAUUUCUCAUAUGGAGAAUAUUCUCUCUGUAUUAAAAAAUUAAUA
Molecule: long non-coding RNA, 1557 nt
Organism: Equus asinus (donkey)
Lineage: Eukaryota; Metazoa; Chordata; Mammalia; Perissodactyla; Equidae
Source: Ensembl